Long non-coding RNA from Dreissena polymorpha, 638 nucleotides. RefSeq lists it as uncharacterized. The transcript is spliced from 3 exons. Lineage: Eukaryota; Metazoa; Mollusca; Bivalvia; Myida; Dreissenidae. The record is from RefSeq and is a predicted model, not a curated record.
AGCACGUGGGCGGGCGAGUGCUGCUCAACUCACUACGACACGGGCGUGAACGAACACUCGGCUAAGUGGUGCCCGGCUUUCUGCUGCGGCUCGUCGCUGACAGGGCUGCUUACCUGUUGUGAAAACGGACUUCUUAGGGCAGCGAGCUACGACCGGUACCCGGUCUGCGCCGACUUCUUCGUCCAGAACUAUUGGGUUGCGAUCGUGAUCGGUCUGGGCGGACUGGCCGUCUUGACGUGUAUCGGGAUCAUCUUGGCGUGCACCAUCGGGCGACCACGGCAACCCGUCGCGCCCUCGGAGACACGAACACCCGUUACAAAUAGCGCCUACGCCUAUGGCGCCCCAACUUACAACAAGCCGACCGGAACGGCGCACGGGGCUGGGAUCAACGGGAACCCCACAAGUGUGGUAUGGUGACCACAGACCAAGCCAACAUGCGCUAGGAUCGAGCUUAAGCUAAGGUUGCCUAUCGGAGAUACAAAUGUAUUAACAGCCGGGCUUAUUGACGACAUAUCCACUUACACUUAUUGAAAAAUAUACAUUACUGAUUUUAAUAUCCAUUCAGUUGCAAUAGAAUUUAACAUAAACCAGUAACUAGAAAACAAAUCCUUACUGACAAGUGACCUGAAUCAAACAUA